This is a long non-coding RNA of Gasterosteus aculeatus aculeatus (three-spined stickleback), 494 nucleotides long. Lineage: Eukaryota; Metazoa; Chordata; Actinopteri; Perciformes; Gasterosteidae. The record is from Ensembl.
CGCGUGGACACGCGCGGGGCUACCGAUGCAAUAACGGAGCCGUGCACGCGACAACAGAUCGCACCGUCAACAGCGGCCGGUGGAGGUGGAGGAGGUGGGGGACUAACUUACUAACUUAACUACGAGGAGGAAAAAGCUCGUCUCGCCGAGGAGGGCGUCGAGGAAAAAGAAGCGAAACGUGGAGUUUGGCGCGCGCUGACUCCCGGUGCUGGCGGGGAAACGCGCGAGCUGCUCUCCUCCUCCUCGGCUGAUGUUCAGAUGGUUACACGGAGGGAGAAGAAGGGGAGAAAACAUGCGAGAGGGCGAGAAUCGCCGAUUUGGAUGUUGUUGUUUUUGAUGUUCCAGGUCCGUGACGUCACAUCCACCUGCUGGGUGAAGCGCGUUUGCCGCGUCGCGGAUCCUCCGCCGCGCAUCACAGCCGCGCGACCACGAGUGCGUCCUUUCCGCUGCGCGCUGAGCUCAACGCGUGACACGGACUACAACUUAUUAUUUCA